GAUGAACGCUGGCGGCGUGCCUAACACAUGCAAGUCGAACGGAAAGACACUGAGAUUGUGCUCUUACCGGUGGCGGGUGGCGGGCGUGUGAGGAAUGCAUCGUAAUCUUCUUUUUCGGGGAGGAUAACGUAAGGAAGGUUACGCUAAUAUCGCAUAUGAUGUACGGGGGAGAGCAGUGGAUCGUUGCGGCUGUCGGGAAUGAACUAGCGGAUGUCGGGUUAGUUAGUUGGGUGGGUAAAGGCCUACCAAGUCGACGAUACGUAGCUGGACUGAGAGGAUGAUCGGCCACACUGGAACUGAGACACGGUCCAGACUCCUACGGGAGGCAGCAGUGGGGAAUAUUGGGCAAUGGGCGCAAGCAUGAUCCAGCCAUACCGCGUGGGUGAAGAAGGCCUUCGGGUUGUAAAGCCCUUUUGUUGGGAAAGAAAAGCAGCAGGUUAAUACCCCGCUGUUCUGACGGUACCCAAUGAAUAAGCACCGGCUAACUACGUG
RNAcentral lists this ribosomal RNA (492 nucleotides) under uncultured bacterium. RNAcentral's name for it is "partial 16S ribosomal RNA". It matches the Rfam family "Bacterial small subunit ribosomal RNA", at positions 28 to 507 of the family's 1533-position model. The record is from RNAcentral.